UACGUAGGGACCAAGCGUUGUUCGGAUUUACUGGGCGUAAAGGGCGCGUAGGCGGCUUGUCAAGUCACUUGUGAAAUCUCUGGGCUUAACCCAGAACGGCCAAGUGAAACUGUCAUGCUAGAGUGCAGAAGGGGCAAUCGGAAUUCUUGGUGUAGCGGUGAAAUGCGUAGAUAUCAAGAGGAACACCUGAGGUGAAGACGGGUUGCUGGGCUGACACUCACGCUGAGGUGCGAAAGCGUGGGGAGCAAACAGG
This 253-nucleotide ribosomal RNA is filed under the name uncultured bacterium. Its description in RNAcentral is "partial 16S ribosomal RNA". It matches the Rfam family "Bacterial small subunit ribosomal RNA", at positions 524 to 776 of the family's 1533-position model. The record is from RNAcentral.